RNAcentral lists this ribosomal RNA (433 nucleotides) under uncultured bacterium. RNAcentral's name for it is "bacterial SSU rRNA". It matches the Rfam family "Bacterial small subunit ribosomal RNA", at positions 340 to 789 of the family's 1533-position model. The record is from RNAcentral.
UACGGGAGGCAGCAGUGGGGAAUCUUGCGCAAUGGGCGAAAGCCUGACGCAGCCAUGCCGCGUGAAUGAUGAAGGUCUUAGGAUUGUAAAAUUCUUUCACCGGGGACGAUAAUGACGGUACCCGGAGAAGAAGCCCCGGCUAACUUCGUGCCAGCAGCCGCGGUAAUACGAAGGGGCUAGCGUUGCUCGGAAUUACUGGGCGUAAAGGGAGCGUAGGCGGACAUUUAAGUCAGGGGUGAAAUCCCGGGGCUCAACCUCGGAAUUGCCUUUUGAUACUGGGUGUCUUGAGUAUGAGAGAGGUGUGUGGAACUCCGAGUGUAGAGGUGAAAUUCGUAGAUAUUCGGAAGAACACCAGUGGCGAAGGCGACACACUGGCUCAUUACUGACGCUGAGGCUCGAAAGCGUGGGGAGCAAACAGGGAUUAGAUACCCGU